Molecule: long non-coding RNA, 214 nt
Filed under: Lathyrus oleraceus (garden pea)
Lineage: Eukaryota; Viridiplantae; Streptophyta; Magnoliopsida; Fabales; Fabaceae
Description: Pisum sativum (pea) long non-coding RNA (PSAT_LNC030718)
Source: RNAcentral
GAGAAAUGAUAUGCAUGAGGAUAUUAGCUUUUUUUUUCUUUUUUUUUCUCUUGCAUUAUUUUUUGAAAAUAAACAUGCUAUGAUGCAAAUGAUGCAAACACGACUGGUUGGCUGUGUAUCUCGGAGCACAGGAUCAAAGCUUCGGCUUGAAUUCGGAACCACAAAGUCAUCUGAGACCCAAAGUCAUCUGGAACCCAUUCUGCAGAACCAAGUC